RNAcentral lists this long non-coding RNA (925 nucleotides) under Rattus norvegicus (Norway rat). RNAcentral's name for it is "long non-coding RNA NONRATT019652". Lineage: Eukaryota; Metazoa; Chordata; Mammalia; Rodentia; Muridae. The record is from RNAcentral.
GGAGUAGACCAGAUUGUGGAGUUACACUCCAAAACUGACUUACUUGACACACUCCCCAAAUACCUGAGUGCUGGACAUUUUAUACUGUCCCUUUGUUUCUCCAGACCUGUUUCCUGGAAACCAUAAGACAUUGUAUAAACAGUCAUACAACUAGGUGUUGCGGUGGCAACAGUAACUGUCUACUAUGGAAUAGGGCCCUGUAUGGGAUGAUUUUCUGUAUUUAUUUUAAUUGAAAAUAAGCUUUAUUUUGUUUGGGGUUUUGUGCAGUUUCUACUCCUAGAUUCUCCCCAGACCCUGGGAUGAUUUUGGUCCAUGAGAUGAGUUCUGGGACUUGAAGAGGUUUGCUUGACCUCAUGGAAAGCCAGCCAGUUCAAGGGAGAAAUGGAGCAUGUGACUCUUGUUAGGAAGUUAGGAUGAAUCUUUAUUUCAUGGGGAAAUAGUGGGUAUCAUUUAAAAAUUCAAGUCUGCUUCUUUGGUAGGUAUCUUGGUAGUCUCCAGUCACAUAAACUGUAAUAUUUGAAAUUUGGAACACAUACAGGUUUCACCAGUUUAUUAGGCUCAGUUCUGACAUACGUCAUCUUGUAUGUAAGGUAACACGUCUGUGGUGUUCUUCCUCCUUUCCAAGAGUGUGUCAUGAAUUGUGGCAGUCUAGUUCAGUGAGCAGAACUGUGCUGGGUUGUACUGCUGUAUGCACUCACGUGACCCAUCAUGCAUUUUUCUCCCCUCACAGACAAACUUUCCAGAAAUGAUGAACAGAUAUAAGCAACUAUUGACCUAUAUUCGGAGUGCAGUCACCAGGAACUACUCUGAAAAGUCUAUUAACUCUAUCCUUGACUAUAUCUCCACUUCUAAACAGAAUUCUGAUUUUUUAUGUCAGAUGGAUUUACUGCAGGAAUUUUAUGAAACAACACUGGAAGCUUUGAAA